Molecule: ribosomal RNA, 559 nt
Filed under: Phaeoacremonium parasiticum
Lineage: Eukaryota; Fungi; Ascomycota; Sordariomycetes; Togniniales; Togniniaceae
Description: eukaryotic LSU rRNA
Rfam family: Eukaryotic large subunit ribosomal RNA
Source: RNAcentral
AAACCAACAGGGAUUGCCCCAGUAACGGCGAGUGAAGCGGCAACAGCUCAAAUUUGAAAUCUGGCCUAGGCCCGAGUUGUAAUUUGCAGAGGAUGCUUCGGGCGCGGUGCCUUCUGAGUUCCCUGGAACGGGACGCCAUAGAGGGUGAGAGCCCCGUACGGUUGGACACCUAGCCUGUGUGAAGCUCCUUCGACGAGUCGAGUAGUUUGGGAAUGCUGCUCAAAAUGGGAGGUAUAUCUCUUCUAAAGCUAAAUACCGGCCAGAGACCGAUAGCGCACAAGUAGAGUGAUCGAAAGAUGAAAAGCACCUUGAAAAGGGGGUUAAACAGCACGUGAAAUUGUUGAAAGGGAAGGGCCCAUGACCAGACUUGUGCCCGGCGGAUCACCCAGCGUUCUCGCUGGGGCACUCCGCCGGGUCCAGGCCAGCAUCGGUUCUCGCCGGGGGAUAAAGGCUCUGGGAACGUAGCUCCUCCGGGAGUGUUAUAGCCCUCUGCGUAAUACCCUGGCGGGGACCGAGGUACGCGCUCCGCAAGGAUGCUGGCGUAAUGGUCAUCAGCCAC